Molecule: ribosomal RNA, 492 nt
Filed under: uncultured bacterium
Lineage: Bacteria
Description: partial 16S ribosomal RNA
Rfam family: Bacterial small subunit ribosomal RNA
Source: RNAcentral
AGUGAACGCUGGCGGUAGGCCUAACACAUGCAAGUCGAACGGCAGCACAGUAAGAGCUUGCUCUUACGGGUGGCGAGUGGCGGACGGGUGAGGAAUACAUCGGAAUCUACUUUUUCGUGGGGGAUAACGUAGGGAAACUUACGCUAAUACCGCAUACGACCUACGGGUGAAAGCAGGGGAUCUUCGGACCUUGCGCGAUUGAAUGAGCCGAUGUCGGAUUAGCUAGUUGGCGGGGUAAAGGCCCACCAAGGCGACGAUCCGUAGCUGGUCUGAGAGGAUGAUCAGCCACACUGGAGCUGGGACACGGUCCAGACUCCUACGGGAAGCAGCAGUGGGGAAUAUUGGACAAUGGGCGCAAGCCUGAUCCAGCCAUACCGCGUGGGUGAAGAAGGCCUUCGGGUUGUAAAGCCCUUUUGUUGGGAAAGAAAAGCAGCAGGUUAAUACCCCGCGGUUCUGACGGUACCCAAAGAAUAAGCACCGGCUAACUUCGUG